AUGAACGCUGGCGGCGUGCCUAAUACAUGCAAGUCGAGCGAACAGAUGAGGAGCUUGCUCCUCUGACGUUAGCGGCGGACGGGUGAGUAACACGUGGAUAACCUACCUAUAAGACUGGGAUAACUUCGGGAAACCGGAGCUAAUACCGGAUAAUAUAUUGAACCGCAUGGUUCAAUAGUGAAAGACGGUUUUGCUGUCACUUAUAGAUGGAUCCGCGCCGCAUUAGCUAGUUGGUAAGGUAACGGCUUACCAAGGCAACGAUGCGUAGCCGACCUGAGAGGGUGAUCGGCCACACUGGAACUGAGACACGGUCCAGACUCCUACGGGAGGCAGCAGUAGGGAAUCUUCCGCAAUGGGCGAAAGCCUGACGGAGCAACGCCGCGUGAGUGAUGAAGGUCUUCGGAUCGUAAAACUCUGUUAUUAGGGAAGAACAAAUGUGUAAGUAACUGUGCACGUCUUGACGGUACCUAAUCAGAAAGCCACGGCUAACUACGUG
This 496-nucleotide ribosomal RNA is filed under the name uncultured bacterium. RNAcentral describes it as "partial 16S ribosomal RNA". It matches the Rfam family "Bacterial small subunit ribosomal RNA", at positions 29 to 507 of the family's 1533-position model. The record is from RNAcentral.